AGUGAACGCUGGCGGUAGGCCUAACACAUGCAAGUCGAACGGCAGCACAGUAAGAGCUUGCCUUUACGGGUGGCGAGUGGCGGAUGGGUGAGGCAUACAUCGCAAUCUACUUUUUCGUGGGGGAUAACGUAGGGAAACUUACGCUAAUACCGCAUAUGAUCUACGGGUGAAAGCAGGAGAUCUUCGGACCUUUCGCGAUUGAAUGAGCCGAUGUCGGAUUAGCUAGUUGGCGGGGUAAAGGCCCACCAAGGCGACGAUCCGUAGCUGGUCUGAGAGGAAGAUCAGCCACACUGGAACUGAGACACGGUCCAGACUCCUACGGGAGGCAGCAGUGGGGAAUAUUGGACAAUGGGCGCAAGCAUGAUCCAGCCAUACCGCGUGGGUGAAGAAGGCCUUCGGGUUGUAAAGCCCUUUUGUUGGGAAAGAAAAGCAGCAGGUUAAUACCCCGCUGUUCUGACGGUACCCAAAGAAUAAGCACCGGCUAACUUCGUG
This 492-nucleotide ribosomal RNA is filed under the name uncultured bacterium. RNAcentral's name for it is "partial 16S ribosomal RNA". It matches the Rfam family "Bacterial small subunit ribosomal RNA", at positions 29 to 507 of the family's 1533-position model. The record is from RNAcentral.